AAAGUCAGGGUCAGAGUUUGGGAAAUUUAAGUUCAAUCCUCAACAAAAUUUACAGCUGAGAAAUCUGAUGUUCUGUGAAAAAACUCUAAAUAUACCAUACAAAUAAACUAGUCUUCAAAUGAAUCAAGUUCAGUUUGUUGGUUUACCUGCAUCUUACAACUAGGAUGAACUGAACAUAUACAAAUAGAGUCAAGAGACAUCGCUUUAAGGUUAAAAAAAGGUUGAACCUUGCUUUACUAUGUUAACCUGUUGUUAAUACAGGUCGCUUCCUCUCACUAAAAAGUAAUAUUUUAUAGUAUUUUUUUGUGUGUGCAUGUAUCGUUCUACUCCCUAGUUUUUACUUAUUCCUUAUAUUACACUGCUGGCAUUGCCAUCAAUUACAGUUUGGGUUUGAGUGUCUUGCCCAACUAUACUUUGGUAUCUGGACAUCAGGACUCCGAAUCAAACCAUACUCUUUUAAAUUGAAGAGGACCAACUCUACUACUGACCCACAGUCACUCCUGCCCAUCAGUAGUGGUGUGACAAUAAUGCAGACCUUUAUAAAUGACUCUCUGCAUACAAGUAUGGCAAACAAUCUGUUCCAGAUCAACAAUACAAACUUCAGCAACAAAUUAGCUCAACACUUAGUUCAGCCUCCAGACAACCUCCAGACAUGCACAAAGUUCGAGAAACUCCCCAGAAUUACUUAGAUGAGCUGCUAGUGUUAGUGCAGAAUUAAAAUAUGUGAAAGCAUAAAAUCUGAGACUCUGUAAUUUUAAUCUUUGAUACGAUUGUGAAACCUCAUACCAUGACCUGAUGCCAUAUAUUGACAAUCCCCUCACCUUCCAUAAGAGGGACGACUUUUUUCAAGAUAACAUCUUAUACAUGAACCAGGGUCGUUAUGGGCUCAAGAAAAUGAUGGGUUAAUUUUUUUGCAAACAAUCCUUGAGGGGGAAAUUUGACUUGUUUUGAUCUGCAUCAUAUGGUUGCUCCUUAAGUUGCAAAAUAGACUAAUAAAUAAAAUGAUGUGCCUGAACCGAGAGGUUGCUGCAAGUCUGGUCUCUCUGUAUUAUCUGUAAUUUUUGUAAUUUAUGCUAGAUUUUUUUCAUAUUUUUGUUGGAUGCUUCUGCUGGGUGAAGAGUUUACUCAAGACAAGAGCUCCUUUCAUUAAGGAAAAGCAAAUCUGGACAACAACAUACAAUUCCAGAGGACAUCAGGAGGUGUUAUCAUGGUUGCCGUGCUGGUGCAAAGGUUAAGGCAAAGCUGAAUGCUAGGAGGUGGCGAUCUAAACCCUUUCUCCCAUCAAUCAUCAUGGGAAACGUCAACUCUCUGCCCAAAAAAAGCGAUGAGCUGGAGAUCUUGGUGAAGGCUGAGAAAGCAUACCGUAAGUGGUUUCCUGUGUUUUAAUGAAACCUGGUUGAAUCAAAACAACUCGGACUCCAGUGUGGGUCUACCUGGCUUCACUCUCAUAAGGUCAGACAGAGGUGCUCAAGCUAGUGGCAAGAAGACAGAAGGAGGUCUGGCUUUAUUUGUCAACCAGAGAUGGUGUAACCCUUCACUCAUAACUGUCAAGGAGAAGUUGUGUUGUCCAGAUAUUGAACUGUUGGCAGUUGCUCUUCGGCCAUAUUAUGUUCCCAGAGAAUUUAGUCAUAUCAUAACAGUAGUUGCUUACAUUCCACCCAAAUCAACUGAAGAAUGUUGUGAUGUUUUGCAAAAUAGUGUUGCCAGGCUACAGACUCUGCACCCUGAGGCACUAAUAAUAAUAUCGGGAGACUUCAACCAUGUCACCCUCUCCUCUCACCUGACUGGAUUCACACAGUUUGUGAACUGUCCUACCAGAGAAAACAAGACCCUGGAUCUGCUGUAUGCCAACGUCAAAGAAGCCUACAGAGCCACUGCCUUACCACCAUUGGGCAAGUCAGAUCAUAACUUGGUCUAUCUGCAAACCUGUUACAGACCUUGUGUGCUGAGGCAGCCUGUGACCAAAGUCAAAAUCAGAAGAUGGACACCUCAAGCCAGUGAAGCUCUAAGGGACUGUUUUAAAUCAGCAGACUGGAAUCUGCUGCUGGAAACAGAUGCGGAUAGUAUGAACAUUGAUAAACAGGUUGCCGGCUUUACUGAUUGGGCUCUAUUUUCGUGUCAGCUGGUGAGGCGGAGGAGGGUGGCGGACCUCGCACAGUUGUAUUUUUGUCUGGCAGAGCCUGACAAAAAGCCAGUUUGGUAUUUUUGUGGACUGAGGCGCACCGAGGUCCACCAAGCUGGGCGUGUUGGCGAGGCAGGGGAAGGUGUCGAAAGAAUCAGCUGGUGCAGUGACAUUUUCGUGUUUGCCGGUGGCGUAUAAAGUGCGCUGAAAGCUCGCUGAUUCAAACCUGGUCAUCUUUCAGCACAGGCGGAGCGCAGCUGGUCCAGAGGUAUUUUGGUAGACCAGCGCCGUAUCGGCAUACGUCACCGAUGCCUCACUGGCAGGUUUCCACAGUGUCAGGCACAUUUCAGCAGCCAUUAGCACAUUACAGUGCAUUAAAUAAUCAACAACAACUAAUAAUCAACAACAACUAAUAAUCUGAGUCAGCACAUACAUUUAGAUCUAUAUCUGACAUUUGAACAAGAUGGAGGAAGAAAGGGAGAAGUUAUAGUGGAGAUUUGUUGCGGAGCGGAAGGUGGAGUAGCAGUGGAAUUGGGAGUGACAGCAGUGUCAAAUCUGUUGAACAACAGGUUGAGUUCAUCAGCUCUUUUCAUAUCACCCACCACUGGCUGUCUUUUCUUUUGACUGCUGUGUCCAGAGGUGGUACUGAUUCCUCUCCACGCUUCACGGAUGUUGCUGUGUUGUAGAUUAUUCUCUAUCUUAUUUUUGUACUCCAGCUUUGCCAUCUUCAGUCUCCUCUUCAACUCUUGUUGCACUUGUUUGAGUUCUUUGUUAUUAUCUUUAAAAGCUUUCUUUUUCUGGUUAAGGAUUGCUUUAUGUCUCUUGUGAUACAGGGUUUGUUGUUGGGGAAACAGCGAACAGUUUUUGUUGGUAUAACUGUGUCUCUACAGAAGUUGACAUAAUGGGCUCUAUUUUCGUGCCUCGCCAGAGACGUGCCGCAGGCGCGGCAUUAGUCAGGUCCGCGGCGCCAACAAGGUGUUCCCAAGCACAAUUUGGUAUUAUGGUGAGCGGCGCAGCCCGGCCUAAGUAUUCCCCUCUCAGCGGCGUAAGUCAUAACGAGGGAGGAGAGAGGGCGUGGUGUGGGUUGAUCACAGCCGAGACCUGUAUUGACCAAUAACAUCAGCUCCUCUCCUCACCAGCGAGGCGUAUUACUAUUUUCGUGAAGUAGUCAAAGAAAUCAAAAGAUGUCUGAAGACAGUAAUGCCACACGAUGGCGACAGAAGGCAGCCCCUCAACAAGUGUCGCUGUAAACACUGCAGAGGCAGCCUUCACAGUCUCAUAUAAGCACAGAUGGAUUUGGUGUGUGAAAGUUUGGACCCACUAGUAAGACAAACACUCUUUCCACAAAUAAAUACACUCACAUAAAGUUGCUUAUAUUCAAACCUCACGUGACAAAGGUAGGUUGUGCGCACAGAUCACAACAUAAAUUCCAAAAAUGGCAUUAAAAUCGGAACCAUCUGUGCGUAAUGACGCAUCACGCUCUGUGGCCUGGCUCUUUCUUUUAUAGAUGUUGGAAUAUAAAAUAAAUUUGGCUCACAAAACUGAAUAUUAUAAUAUUCAUAUGUAGGUUUAAAACAAAUAACUCACCUGAUCACUGAAACAAAUCAUCUGUGCAGCAGCUGCAGCAGGACGGGGAGAGGACACAGAGACAUGUCCAGGUCGAGCUGCGUGAGAAAUAAGAGGAAGAAAGAAAAGGAGGGAGAUGAAUUACAUAUCUUUUUAACUUCAUGAUUUGUGUCUAUUUACUAGACAUUUAAUUUAAUUUAAUGCGGUUUCAGCUUUGUUAAUUCGGUCAGGUUGUGUGUCCAAACGCGUGCCAAACGCGCUCAUGAGAUCAGAUAUAGAUCAGAAUAUAUCUAUAUAGAUCUAAAUGUAUGUGCUGACUCAGAUUAUUAGUUGUUGAUUAUUUAUUGCACUGAAAUGUGCUGAUGGCUGCUCAGAUUAAACCUGACCAACCACAGCCUGAUCCAAGGAAAGCAGCAACUUGUAACUUUUAUAUCAAAUAAAUAGGGAUAUAACAAAUGGGGAUAUGAUCUAUUUAGACAGACCUUGUAUAUGUUUAUGUGGAAAUUGUAAAAAAAAAAAAGGUCUGCUUCUGACAUCAAAUCCCUUGCACCAGUUUAGGCAUUGAGAUUUACAAUAUAAAAACUGUUUAACUUGUCACUUGUUUCAGAGGAUUUCAGUCCAUUUCAUGAAAAUAUCCUAGCAGUCGUUUUAACCCCAUACUCAUUCUGAUGAAGGCCAGUGGUAACAUCUUAGCAUAAAUUUGCCAUGUCAAUUUAUCAGGUGAGAUCCUCUCUGCCGUUUUACUCAAUCACCUUUCUUCAAAACUCAAAAACAGAGAGAAUUUAGAAAGUGUUUUUCUUUAAUAUCACGUCCACAAAAUUGAAUACCUGAGGUGGUGAAGUGUAAGAUGUUUCUGCAUAUUUAAGCAUGUCGCCGUUUCUCCUAAAGCCAUCAUGUAACUCUUUUAAAAGGUCAACUUUGGAGUCUCUCAAUAUUGAAAGUUGGAGCACAGCAUGCAGAGUAAACAGAAGAUCUCAGGAAAGCGAAUCUUAACUUUCGACUCAGGGACUCAACUUAUUUGUUUCAUUGUUUCCAGGUGUCUGAGGACUGAUGCACUUGCACUUUAAUGUAAAACUCAGUAACCACUUCAGAUGGCUUAAUCUUUAAGCUUGUAAUACUAAAUCUUUAAACCCCAAUUCAUCAUUGUAAGAUAUAAACUUCCUUUAACUUGAUCAAAUUGACUUUGUUUGUUGACCUUUUUCAAGUGUAACACUAGUAUAGAGAGGUCUGUUUUUCUUUUGCAACCUCUGGCAAAGCAGUGCACAAAAAUUCUCAACCACCGCUCCCUGUCUCUUUCUCUCAUUGGUCGCUGUGGGUUAUGUAAACACUGAAAUGUGAGCUUUCCUUCCUCACAGGAGGAGGCGUGGUUUGACACCAGAAGUAUGGUAGUAUGGCAAAGGUGAAUGUGUAUAUCUGUGUGUGUCAGAUUGACAGUGUGUUGCCAGCCGGUCCUCCUCUUCACACUGCUGCUGUCACCGCCUCCUCCUGUCUCCUCCCCCACCUUCAUCCCUCACUCUCUCUGCUGCCCCUCCCCCAGCCUCUUUAGUAAUGUGGGUUAGUGUGUGUAGCCAUGUGAGACAAGGCAUCUUACCUUCAUGCUUACUUGUGUGUGAGUGUGUAGGAUAAUCCCUCACCAUCGACAUGGGUUUAAAAGGGUCGUCAGGUUCACAGGCUUGUUUUGAAACAGCCUCCAACUUUAUUGUCACCUAAUACCUGACGUCACAUUUUCAUGUUUUUGACUCUUGCUUUGCACUCUAUUCUUUUCAUCCACCUCCUCAGCAUUUUUUUCCUUUCCUCAUCCCUCAAAGUUUUUAGGCCUUUCAUUCUAUUUUAUUGGACUUUUCAAGCCUCCUAACUCCACGCUGCUCUUUUUCUUUCUUACCCUGUUAAAUAUAUCACACAGUUUUGGUUUUGCAAUUUCUCUGGUAUUUGCAGCAAAUUUCUUCUGUUUUCCAUCUUGCCAUCCUUGACUUUAAUGGUUUCACAGUAACGUGUUGGUAAAUUUACUGUCUGUGUCAUUCUAGGUGUUUAUGAUGUGUUUAUUGCCUUUACGAUGUGUGAUAUCGUCCCAUAAUGCCAAACUAGAAUUUUCCAACUUGUGCGCUGACCAGAAAGGAGUAGCAGAACAUGACUUUAUCUCUGCUCCUUUAACCCACUUAUUUUUUAUCCUUUUCUGCUUUUACUCUUCAUUUUCUGGAUUUUGUUUUACUUUUUUUUUUAACUACAGUUUUUGUUAAAGCUUUCAUUAAUUAUCCAAAUACAUUUGCCAGAUUUACUUCUUGGCACAAUUAUAGAAGACUUACCAAAUCAACAAAUCUUUCAAGAAAAGCUCUUAUUUUUCAAUGUCAUCCAUGUAAUUCAUGGAUAUAAUUUUAGCGUGAAUGUGUGUCGACUACACACAGGACAUUACAAAAAAAAAGUUUGUUUUGAGCUUAUUUUGUUAAUCUAUAAUUCAAAGUUGUGAAAGAGUUUACAAAAAUCAUACAGUUUGAGACUUUUCUUUUUUGAAUCACUUAGUUUUUCAGUGUCCUGUCCAUAAUCUUUUCAAGUAUUUGCAGACUCCACUCAUACAGACUGUCUUAAGGUGCAUUUUUAUCCUUAUCCAGAAAGAAACUUAUUGUCUAAAAGACAGUCAUGCUUUUUAUAAGCUGCCAGUGAGAUGACAAUAAAUAAAUAGGCCAGAAAAAUCUAACAACCAGUGUACACCCCUGCACUUAUCCCCCUUCUCUUCUUUGAUUUUUUUUUAACCCCUAUUCCUCUUUCUCUUUCCCCCUUGUCAUUCUAUAUUUUCAAUAACUGAACCUCAUUACCCUUGUUACCUAAGUCAGCCUUGCUGGAUGGGGCGUGGCUUGCUGACAUCACACACUCCUAUGUCAGUUGGCUGGGGGAUGGGAGAAAAGGAGAGAGGGAGACAGGAAGGGCAGCACAAGCAGGGGAUUUCCUGCAAACGACAGGCAGGGGGAGCUUUCAGCGACCCAUUGUUUUGUAAUUGUCCCAAUGGCCUUCUGUCCUCACUGGAGCACCGGUAAAGCUGCGAGAGCAGACCAGAGCGUGAUGUUGAGAGUGUCUCACACACGUUGACGCGCUCUGGUCAGACAGGACACUGGGAAAGUGUGUAAGUGGAAUUAGGGAGGAACACUCAACAGCUGGAGGGAGUUUCUAAGAGUGAAAGUGUCAAGACAACAUGGAUCUCUCACCAGAGUAAGAGAGAAAAAACUUUCAACCACAUGACAUGGGUGAGUAACUUAAAACUGUUUGACUCAUGGCUGUGGUGUCAGAGCUUUUCUGGCUGCUGUACUUUUCACAUUAGCCUCUCUUUUUCCUUGUGUCAGUAUCAGUCCAUAGCUUUUCUGCUGCAUGUCUACUUAUCUGUAUAUGCUGAAAUAUUCAGGCUGGAGGGGGUUUCUAUAACACUGACCUAGAUGUGGUGCAGUGCCAAGUCUGUGUCCGGGCCACUCAGGCUGAGUAGAGCUCAGAGGUUUCAUAAGGCAUGUUAUGAAAUAGAUGCAGGAGUUGUCCUUGUGCCAAAAAAAAGUAUCCUUGUUGGGGUUCUCAAGGACCUCUAUGUAAAACUUCUUUCAUAAAACAUUAGCUUUUCUUUUGAGAUCUGUUUGAAAGAACAACGAUUACCCACAGAAGUGUUUGAGCAGAAAAAUUUCUAGCGAUAAAAAGUUGCUGCCUGUCAAGGAUUGGUUGCCAUAAUUGCUCUACGAAUAUGUGAGAAAAAAAACAAUUUACUUUAAUGAACUCUAAAGCUCAGACAAAUAUGUCUCUCUCCCACUUCAGUCUUUAAAUAUGGAUAAAGUUGCUUAAGUUCUGCAGUACUAUUGCUGUGCAUACACACACACAGAACAAAAAACUGCUUUCUCGUCUUUUCAAGAAUAACAUCUACAGUAGGGUGCAGAAAAUUUCAGAAAGACAGGCUGAUACAUUUUGUGAAUGGAAUGUAUAGCUGGAGUGGAGUGACAAGACAAUUGCAUAGGCUGAGGAUGUUUGAUCUUUAGAAGGCAUCCGUUAUCAAUCAACCAAAAGAGAACAACAAUACAUUACAAUACAUGUUUUCUGGUGAAACUGAGUAUUUGCCGCUCUAGAUUCAAGUUAAAGUUUGGUGUAAAUGAGCUUUACAGUGUUAGCUCAGUUAUAUCUUGUUUAUCUUCUUGUAUAUGCUAGGAUUACCAUGGGUUAUGUGGCCUUAAAGAAGGACACUGUUUUGAUCAUAAUGUUACUUUGCUUUGUAUGUAGAUAUUUUUGGGAACUUGACUAUGACUCCAAUUUCUCUCUGAGUCCUGUACUGUUCACAUGCAAACAUUGCUCUACUGUCUGGGUCAAAGGGUCUGCUGCUCUGUCAUGUAUAAGCAUACUUGUGCAAAGGUUCAUUUUUUUCUCAUGACUCUACAUUUCGAAGUAAGCAUGGAUUAAAGGAUUUGACAUACUUGGGGCUCCACGCUCCAGUUUAGCUAAGAGGUUCAAUCACAGGCCCCUUGUCAGAGGUUACGAUCUCAAGAGCCAGUGGUCAAGGUUAAAUCUGACCACUGCUUUUUGCCCCAUAUCAUCCCCGUGUCUCUCCCCAGUUUCCUACACCAUCCAUUGUCCUAUUCUUUUAUUUUUUAGGGACCUUUCAUUCAGGGAAAAGUCUACACUUACACAGUGAAUUUGGUCUCAUUUCCACUCUAUUGUACGCACAGCUCACUUCCAGUCCCAAGGAACUGUGAUUUUUUUUUUUUUUUCUGGGGCAAGCCUGGACAGAACCUGGAAAGCACCUGGAACUUGUUCAUUUCACUGCAGUCAUGAUUUCUAGUGAGUUAAAACAAAAAGGAUCAUUAAUUGCUUGCAGAAAAAAUAAAAUCAGGGGUGUAAUUCUUCAGAAUUAAUCCGGAACCCUGGAUUUUCCACAUUUGAAAUGCGUUUUACAUGAUACAGGAUACCUGUAAGAACCUAUUCUAAAAGAAAGUCAGAUAUAACCUGUUAUAACCUGUGAAAUUAGGGGACCUCUAGAUCAAGUUAACUUAAAGGCUUAAAAGCAGGUGCAUACUUCAAAGUGUUCCACACUCAUGUCCAAGCGUAGGGGAACAAGUGCCAGUUCACCCCUAGGUCACUUGUUUGGAUGUUCAUAGAGAAGCUAGUACCUGUAGAUCCUUCUUAUUAUAUGUCAAAUUUAAACAGUAAGAAAUUCCAGAGGAUAAUGUUAAAUUUAGCAGCAUUAAUAGUCUGUAUCUUCAGUAUGUUACAUGGAAAAAAACACCACCAUACUCUUAUCCAGUCUCAACACACUUUAGAGACUUGCAUAUUUGCAAUACUUCAACAUCCUUCUCCUCUGAGAAUAGAUAAGUGAGUCAUGUAAAUGUGUGUGAAAAAAAUGUAACAUUCCUCCAAUUUUUCUCAAUUACAUGCAAAAAACUAAGUCCUUGUCAUUUUGUACAUUUAGCCUAUGGUGAUGAAAAAUUCAUAGUACUGAAAUUUUGCUGAAACUAAUUUAUAAAUUUGUUGAAUGCAUGCAAAUGGGUUCCAAAUAGCUCUCAAUACAUUUGACAUGACUUUAAUGUGUUUGCUGCGAGUGAAUGAGGGAAUACAGAAAAAAAAGUUAUAAAAAAAUUAUAAAAAUUAUACUUGUUUAUCAUUGUGAGGUAUGUGUGUGUGUGUGUGUGUGUGUGUGUGUGGGGGGGGGGGGGGUGUAGCUGCCAUGUUACUCAAUGCCAAUCAGAUG
Xyrichtys novacula (pearly razorfish) is the source of this 9392-nucleotide non-coding RNA. Lineage: Eukaryota; Metazoa; Chordata; Actinopteri; Labriformes; Labridae. The record is from the annotation of a GenBank genome assembly.